Molecule: ribosomal RNA, 497 nt
Filed under: uncultured bacterium
Lineage: Bacteria
Description: partial 16S ribosomal RNA
Rfam family: Bacterial small subunit ribosomal RNA
Source: RNAcentral
GAUGAACGCUGGCGGCGUGCCUAAUACAUGCAAGUCGAGCGAACAGACGAGGAGCUUGCUCCUCUGACGUUAGCGGCGGACGGGUGAGUAACACGUGGAUAACCUACCUAUAAGACUGGGAUAACUUCGGGAAACCGGAGCUAAUACCGGAUAAUAUAUUGAACCGCAUGGUUCAAUAGUGAAAGACGGUUUUGCUGUCACUUAUAGAUGGAUCCGCGCCGCAUUAGCUAGUUGGUAAGGUAACGGCUUACCAAGGCAACGAUGCGUAGCCGACCUGAGAGGGUGAUCGGCCACACCUGAACUGAGAAACGGUCCAGACUCCUAAGGGAGGCAGCAGUAGGGAAUCUUCCGCAAUGGGCGAAAGCCUGACGGAGCAACGCCGCGUGAGUGAUGAAGGUCUUCGGAUCGUAAAACUCUGUUAUUAGGGAAGAACAAAUGUGUAAGUAACUAUGCACGUCUUGACGGUACCUAAUCAGAAAGCCACGGCUAACUACGUG